AAUUUUCAGUUUUUUUUUUUAGGGUCUGAGGCUCUGAGCAAAGGAUGGUUUGAUGACUUGAUAUUGAACAUUUAAUAAAGUGUUAGCUAUUAUAGAACGAGAGACUUAUGGCUCCACAUUGACAUUUUUUAAGUUACAAUGUCUAUUUAGUCAAACAGAUUUAUUCAACUUAUUGUAAAAAGCUAUUGGUGAAUUUUGUAGCUCAACGUGAAUCGGUGAAUCCAAUAGCAAAUCAAUAAAUCAUGCCGGGAAAAGUUAAAGUGAAAAUUCUUGCUGGAAGGAACCUUCCUGUAAUGGAUCGUUCAAGUGACACUACGGACGCUUAUGUUGAGAUAAAAUUAGGUAGCAUAACCCAAAAGACAGAUGUUUUUCGAAAAUCUCUAAAUCCUCAAUGGAAUUCAGAAUGGUUUAUCUUUGAGGUUGACGAUGCAGAACUUCAAGAUGAACCACUUCAAAUAAGAUUAAUGGAUUACGAUACAUACUCUGCAAAUGAUGCCAUAGGAAAAGUAUACUUAGAUUUAAAUCCACUUCUGGUCACACCUGGCAUUUCAGGUAUCAGAGGUAUCAGAUCGGAAGCUUGCUCUGUCCCGAGUUCAGGAGGGCAUGUAUUAUCAGGUUGGCUUCCAGUGUAUGAUACAAUGCAUGGAAUGAGAGGGGAAGUGUCAGUCAUAGUCAAGGUUGAAUUAUUUUCUGAUGUUAACAAGUUUCGGCAAAGUUCAUGUGGUGUUCAAUUUUUCAGUACUCCGUCAACACCUCACGGUUUUAAAAUUCAGUCUAUUCAAGGGUUUGUUAAAGAACUUGUUGUUAAUGAUGACCCAGAAUAUCAAUGGAUAGACAAAAUUCGGACACCAAGAGCGUCAAAUGAAGCCAGACAAACAUUGUUCUCUCAACUUUCGGGGGAAGUACGUCGUAAAAUCGGAUUAAAAGUAUUAGAGCUUGGCGGAAAUGCUGUAGUUGGAUACCAGCAAAUGUUUGAUCUUGAAGGAGUAACUGGGCUAGUGGUACGCGGGAUAGGGACAGCCGUAACACUAGCUAGGUGCCAUUUCGAUGGAAACGCAGCAGUUACCUGGUUCAAAGAACAGCACCAUGGAAGUAGUGGCCGAGAAUCUCCUCGUUGUGCAGCCAUUUCGCCAGUCGAUGUCGUUAAACCAUUACAUAGUACUGCUGCCAUCACCACUCCAGUGGUCGUACAUGGAAUGACUCCUUCACGACCUUCUCCCUGUCGACGCUCUUCAGAAUCUGAAAUCAACACAACUCCAAAAGCUUCCAGUUUAUCCGAUAGCUUCGGUUCAUCAGGGGGAGGCGUAAUUGCAUCCAACUGUCGUCCGACGACUCACCGUCAGACAUCAGUUCCUGCUCCACCUACUAGCGCAUAUCUCAAUACUGAUGUUACUAGGAACCUUGAAGUCCUCGAAUAUCCUUUCUUGACAAUGAAGACCUACCCCCCUGGAUUCAUCGUACAUAUUGGGGGAACAGUGAGUGCCAGGUCUGUCAAGUUGUUGGAUCGGAUAAACAAUUCCGAAGGAGAACCGGAAACCCGAGAUAAUUGGUGGACUGAAAUAAGAAUGGAAGUUCGUUCACAUGCACGUGCGCUCGGCUGUUCCGUGAUUCUCGGCUACGAAGAGCAUACUAGUAUAAGUGAUGAGGUUUGUGUAUUGAGCGCAUCCGGCACAGCAGCCGUUGUUAAGCUGCAGCAUACAGAAGUGGAGGUUAAAGAUAUAAACUAUCACGGAAAAGGCAAUCCACUUAACGCUGAGGAAAGUAAAGUUACUUUGCCUUGUCGUGUCUGCCACAUCCCUUAUAGCAAGGCCAGCAUUCCUUUUCCCAUCAAGCUUUCUCGCUGCGCUCUAUGCAGGAAGGGCAAAGUUCCUGACGUGUUAAUAGCUACUAUCGAACCUCCGACAGGAAUGAACGUGACGGGACGGGGGUGUCUCAUACAGGCCCGUCUAUGUCGUCCAAAACGUGCCGAAUCUCGUGGCGAUCAGCAAGCGAAGGAAGUUUCGGACGGGUUGCCUUUCCUAGAAUACGAAUUGCAUCGGCAGUUAAUUAAUAAAUUGAGAACCAAAGGAAUGAAUUCAAUAUUCCAUCUUAAGGUGCAAGUGAGUAUCGGAGAAAGGCAUGUAGUUGGCGUUGCUACUGGCACGGCGCUUUUUUUAAGCGCUCUUCCGACUCCAUCUCUGCCUACGCCAAGCAAUCCUAGCAUAUCUUCGAAACAAUCAAAAAGAGGGCGAAUUAAUAAGUUAUUGAUUGAAGCCCACGCUACCAGUCAAGAGCGCUAUGGCCUUAAUAAACAGCUGAAUAAGGUUAAUGACAUGGAAGAAACAAAGUGGACCGAUUCUGAUGAUACAGAUGAGGAUGCCAACGAUCUCGACCUUACAGCUGGAAAUAAAGACUCUUGCGUCAUCGAAAUUGACGACGUAGAAGAUAUUGACGUGAUUGAAUUACUGAUCGACCCCGAAACACCGGAAGGCUUCGACGUGGUGACUACUGAGACUGUACCUGGAUUACCGAUCGAUAAUAUUCGUCGACACCCUAAUCUCCAAGCUUUCAAUCGUGUGUGGAAGGGCAAAAUUCCAUCGGUGCAGGCCGCACGGCAUUUGAAUCGCUGCUUUGAAAUGAUCUUACGGAGUAUUUACUUCAAGUUGCGCAAGUCGCGUCCGUGCGUAAUCACGAACCUUCAGUUCAGCGUUGAUUUACCCGAAGAUGACGAAAUUCAAAUUUCUGUAUUAGGUACAGCCAUCACGUCCUUCACUAAAAUUGCGCCAGAGCCUGCCCCUUGUAUAGGAGCCUCUCUUAGAGGCGUCGGUUCUACCGAAAGCGAAAUGAUUUUUCAUCUCGAGGAUGACGUAGUUCAACUGCCAGCGUCGAACGAGCCGGCAGCUUCAAUGACGAAGGUAAAUCAACAGAUCCGUCAAAUUCCUCCUCCGCCUCCUUCCAAUCAAGGCCUGUUGAGAACGGCUGGCGACAAAGCCAAGUUUUAUGUACAGAAGGAAAGACAGCCGGUAGACAUUGUGACUCUAAUCCACUUACCCGGUUCACGAGUCGAACGCUACUUAGGCCAUCUUAACUUCUUCUUCAUCCGAGAAAGCACCAGCAUUCGUGAGGACGGUGGCUUGAGCGGCUUCAUGCAGUCGUUCAUCACGGAGGUACUGGGCAUCGUACGAGCUCAUGUCUCUGCGUUAGGUGGAAACGCCAUGGUUUCAUACUUUAUGACGCAAUGUGUGCUUCUUCACAACCCUCACAAAAAUCAGGGACAAUGCCUCAUCAAUGUCGGCGGGGAUGUUGUACAGGCCGUCCGCUGCUCUACCGAUAAGGACGUUUCAAAUCAUGCCUAAACUCCUAGUUUCGACUCAUUGUGUCCUGUAGCAGUUUAUUUUAAAUUCUUCCUUGAUCGCUUCCAUCAAGAGAAAGUUCUAAUAAUGGAGACCGAUCCUGUCAUAUUUUCCCAAAAUGUCAAUGUUUAAUUGAUUGCAUCUGUGAACAGCUGCUGAUGGUGACGUAGAUGUGAAGCAUGAAAGGCAAGUGAUUAAUAUCGUCAUUUAUUUUCUGAAGCAUCAACAUUAAUUUUCGGCCGACAGUAAUUCUCGACCGGUUGUGUUACAAAUCGAAUAAAUAUAUCGACCAAUAGA
Molecule: unclassified non-coding RNA, 3629 nt
Filed under: Daphnia pulex (common water flea)
Lineage: Eukaryota; Metazoa; Arthropoda; Branchiopoda; Diplostraca; Daphniidae
Description: c2 domain-containing protein 5-like, transcript variant X1
Source: RNAcentral